AUUAAAAUUGAAAUAAAACCCAAAAAGCAGUAUAGAAGACAUGGAAGAUUUUUCCCUGAGAAGCUUUUCAGACAGACUUAUGUCUGAAACAAGUUUGGAAGGCUUUCUGAAUGUUCUGUGGCAUGCACUGAAAUUUUAUUUCCCAGUAAAUGCACACUUUCUGAAGUUCACUGUACAAUGAAGGAACUCUUCAAAAUGCAACA
This is a long non-coding RNA of Pezoporus flaviventris, 203 nucleotides long. RefSeq lists it as uncharacterized. The transcript is spliced from 3 exons. NCBI's taxonomy places the organism in Eukaryota, Metazoa, Chordata, Aves, Psittaciformes, Psittacidae. The record is from RefSeq and is a predicted model, not a curated record.